This 237-nucleotide ribosomal RNA is filed under the name uncultured bacterium. Its description in RNAcentral is "partial 16S ribosomal RNA". It matches the Rfam family "Bacterial small subunit ribosomal RNA", at positions 100 to 334 of the family's 1533-position model. The record is from RNAcentral.
CGGGACGGGUGAGUAACGCGUGGGUAACCUGCCUCAUACAGGGGGAUAACAGUUAGAAAUGACUGCUAAUACCGCAUAACCCGAUAGGAUCGCAUGAUCCAGACGGAAAAGAAUUUAUCGGUGUGAGAUGGACCCGCGUCUGAUUAGCUAGUUGGUGAGGUAACGGCCCACCAAGGCGACGAUCAGUAGCCGGCCUGAGAGGGUGAACGGCCACAUUGGGACUGAGACACGGCCCAA